This 479-nucleotide ribosomal RNA is filed under the name uncultured bacterium. RNAcentral describes it as "partial 16S ribosomal RNA". It matches the Rfam family "Bacterial small subunit ribosomal RNA", at positions 28 to 507 of the family's 1533-position model. The record is from RNAcentral.
GAUGAACGCUAGCGGGAGGCCUAACACAUGCAAGCCGAGCGGUAUUUGUUCUUCGGAACAGAGAGAGCGGCGCACGGGUGCGGAACACGUGUGCAACCUGCCUUUAUCUGGGGGAUAGCCUUUCGAAAGGAAGAUUAAUACCCCAUAAUAUAUUGAGUGGCAUCAUUUGAUAUUGAAAACUCCGGUGGAUAGAGAUGGGCACGCGCAAGAUUAGAUAGUUGGUGAGGUAACGGCUCACCAAGUCAAUGAUCUUUAGGGGGCCUGAGAGGGUGAUCCCCCACACUGGUACUGAGACACGGACCAGACUCCUACGGGAGGCAGCAGUGAGGAAUAUUGGACAAUGGGUUAGCGCCUGAUCCAGCCAUCCCGCGUGAAGGACGACGGCCCUAUGGGUUGUAAACUUGUUUUGUAUAGGGAUAAACCUACUCUCGUGAGAGUAGCUGAAGGUACUAUACGAAUAAGCACCGGCUAGCUCCGUG